Molecule: microRNA, 20 nt
Filed under: Plutella xylostella (diamondback moth)
Lineage: Eukaryota; Metazoa; Arthropoda; Insecta; Lepidoptera; Plutellidae
Description: pxy-miR-8506
Source: miRBase by way of RNAcentral
UUAGGUGUGAGGGUCACAGC